RNAcentral lists this ribosomal RNA (512 nucleotides) under Odontotermes sp. 2 BH-2011. Its description in RNAcentral is "eukaryotic LSU rRNA". The record is from RNAcentral. Lineage: Eukaryota; Metazoa; Arthropoda; Insecta; Blattodea; Termitidae.
CGGGAGAUUCAGACCCGACCGCGUGUAAGACCACGGGCGGUUGCCACCGGAUGCUCCCGGCUGCCGACCGCGCCCUUGCGGCACGAGCCGGUGCGAGUCGGAGCCAUCAGUCGCCCGUGGAUUUCAGGCCGUGGCGGGGUGCACUUCUGGCCCCAAGCUGGACGUCGCGACCCGUUGGAGGAAUCCUAUGGACGCAGCGGCAUAAGGCCCGGGACUGAGACCGUGGGCACUUCCGCUGAGGCGCGGGCAGAAGGUGCCCUCGAACCCCGGUCGCCCUCCGACGGUCUUUGUUAGGGAGAAUAAAGGCCGGCUACCUCAGCGCCUGGCGCUAGGAGAGAGCGUCCGACCCGUUCGGCAAGAACUUCGGGGAAGCGAUUCCGGUUGUCGCGUGGCUUUCGUCACGCCCCCGGCCCCMUAGACAAAUAGACCCCGUAAACACUACGACAAUCAAACCGCGGCCACUCCAGUCGGUGGCGCUCUAGCUCCAGUUGCUCUCCCGGCCCGUCUUGAAA